UGGAAGUCUCUGGUGCUGUGCUAGUUGGAGUCUGUUCUCGGGCCUGAGCCUCGAGGCUAGGCUCCUGGGUGUCGUUAAUGUUCGGGGCCGCCGGGCGCCAACCGAUCGGAGCUCCAGCCGCCGGGAACAGCUGGCAUUUCAGUCGAACCAUGGAAGAACUGGUUCAUGAUCUUGUCUCUGCUUUGGAGGAGAGCUCAGAGCAAGCUCGAGGUGGAUUUGCUGAAACAGGCGAUCAUUCUCGAAGUAUGUCUUGUCCUCUGAAACGCCAGGCAAGGAAAAGGAGAGGGAGAAAACGAAGGUCGUAUAAUGUUCAUCACCCAUGGGAGCCUGGCCACUGCUUAAGUGAAGGCACGGAUUCUAGUUUAGAGGAACCAAGCAAGGACUACAGAGAAAAUCACAAUAAUAAUAAAAAAGAUCAUAGUGACUCUGAUGACCAAAUGUUAGUGGCUAAGCGCAGGCCAUCAUCAAACUUAAACAAUAAUGUACGAGGAAAAAGACCUCUGUGGCACGAAUCGGAUUUUGCUGUGGACAACCUUGGGAACAGAACUCUGCGCAGAAGGAGAAAGGUAAAACGCAUGGCAGUUGACCUCCCACAGGACAUCUCUAACAAACGGACAAUGACCCAGCCCCUUGAAGGUUGUAGAGAUCAGGACAUGGACAAUGACAGAGCUUACCAAUAUCAAGAGUUUACCAAGAACAAAGUCAAAAAAAGGAAAUUGAAAAUAAUUAGACAAGGGCCAAAAAUCCAAGAUGAAGGAGUAGUUUUAGAAAGUGAGGAAAUAAGCCAGACCAGUAAGGACAAAAUGGACUAUGAAGAGCAAAAGGUCUCAGAUGAACUCAUGAGUGAAAGUGACUCCAGCAGUCUCAGCAGCACUGAUGCUGGCUUAUUUACCAAUGAUGAGGGAAGACAAGGUGACGAUGAGCAGAGUGACUGGUUUUAUGAGAAGGAAUCAGGUGGAGCGUGUGGCAUCACUGGAGUUGUGCCCUGGUGGGAAAAGGAAGAUCCUACUGAGCUAGACAAAAAUUUACCAGAUCCUGUCUUUGAAAGUAUCUUAACUGGUUCUUUCCCUCUAAUGUCGCAUCCGGGAAGAAGAGGUUUUCAAGCUAGACUCAGUCGCCUUCAUGGAAUGCCUUCCAAGAACAUUAAAAAAUCAGGAGGGACCACAACUUCAAUGGUGAGCACCCCUGGUCCUGUCAAUAACAAGAGGAUGGUUCACUUUUCCCCAGAUUCUCAUCACCAUGACCAUUGGUUUAGCCCUGGUGCUAGGACAGAGCAUGGCCAGCAUCAGCUUCUGAGAGAUAACCGAGCUGAAAGAGGACACAAGAAAAACUGUUCUGUGAAAACAGCCAGCAGGCAAACAAGCAUGCAUUUAGGAUCCUUAUGCACAGGAGAUAUCAAACGGAGAAGAAAAGCUGCACCUUUGCCUGGACCUACUACAGCAGGAUUUGUAGGGGAAAACGCCCAGCCAAUCCUAGAAAACAACAUUGGAAACCGAAUGCUCCAGAACAUGGGCUGGACACCUGGGUCAGGCCUUGGACGAGAUGGCAAGGGGAUCGCUGAGCCCAUUCAAGCCAUGCAGAGGCCAAAAGGAUUAGGUCUUGGAUUUCCUCUACCAAAAAGCACCCCUGCAGCUCCCACUCCCAAUGCAGGAAAAUCCGCCUAAGAAGAAAAGCAAAGAAGAAAUGUUUUACAAUUUUUAUUCACGAUAUAGAUCCCAUUGUCCUAAAAUUACAACCUAGCUUCCAUUUUUGAAGCAGAAAUCUACAUUGCCUCAAACUCAUCACUAGCGUCCUAACCGCAUACAGUCCAGCCACAGUGAGAGAGAUGGGGCUCCGUCACAAUGCCUGGUGCUAAAGUGAAAACCUUCACCUUUUGCAGUUUUCAGCUAUUUCUAGGUAUAAGGAACACUUACUUCUCCUAUUUAUUUUGAUCUCAUAGGUCAGUCAUUUCUAGCUUGAUUCGUUCGUGUGUGUGUGUGUGUGUGUGUGUGUGUGUGUGUGUGUGAUGCCCAGGCAAAUGAGAGCACACCCACAGGUUUCUCGAAUGGGAUAGGCCAGAGAGGGUGGUGUUUCUAUCAUCCCUAGAACUUGAAAGACCUAGCAUUACAUCAGUGAAGUCCUAAGCAAAUCUUUGUGUGAAAGGCUUGCCAAUUUCACGUUCUGAUUUUGGCUCUUUUGUAAGGAUUCUGUAACAGGGUGGUCCCAAUUAUCUCUCCUUGGACAGUGUAGGAUAAAGUUCACAGUUGACAAACAACAAUUAAUAUUUCCCUCUGACAUUCUGACCAAAAUAAACCUCAUCAUUGUAAUCACCAGAGUGCCCACAACAUUACCUUAAUGCAGAUUUUACAAAUUUUACCUCAUCUAGAACAGAAAAGAAUUAUUGAAAGAAAAAUGUAUUUUUUAAAUUCACCAUGACUGAACUGUAAAUUCUGUUAAUCUAGACUGACUUCUACCUCUCUCUUCCCAAAGGUUGAUAUUUUUUUAAGAUCAGCGCAACUGUGGUAAACUAAUUUUCAGUUUUAACCAUUGGAGUACUUACUAGAAUUAUCGAAUCAGUUUGUUUGAAAAUCUAAAUGGCUCUCCCACGAAUUCAGAUUUCUGGCAAUGAUCCAGCCCAUUUACAAGGACAGGUACUAGUCCUCUGAAGCAGACCCUUGGAGAUGCUCAUUUAACUUGGAUGUUCUCGAACACUCCCUCCAAAGUAGUUCGUGUUUACAUUAUCAGCAAGCAAAAGAAAGGUCAGAUUCUUGACGUCUAGAGCCCUCUAUGUGGCUCUCAGAAGACUUAAAAUAUUUUUUAAUGUUUGUAAGUAUUUAACUUAACUAUACAGACUAUAUGAGUCAAUACUCCAAGUAGAUAUUAUCAUGCAAACAUACAUCAGAAGCACAUACAUCCCUUCACCAUUCAGUCCUGAAGAACAGUCAAUGCAGACCUGAUGUUCUCUCUGUACCCAAACAUAAUUGGAGAAACAAACACAAUUAAGAUACUGAAUUUCUAAUGUAAAUCAAAUAUCUUUUAAGAUAUGAAGCCCACUAAUUUAUGUUUCACUUAUAGUUCAGUUAAUUUUUACCUGCUUGUUACUAUGCACAUAGAACCCAAAGCAUCCGAAGGAAUUCAUGAUUUAGAAUGCACAUUCAUGUCUUCUGAAAAAGGUGGUAAGAUUUUCCUCUGCUCCUUUGUGAAGCCACUUUUCUACUCUACAGUAUCUAAAGCCCAUGUCAAAUGAAUCAGUCAUGCUAAACUGUAGAGAAUACAUAGGUCUCUUCCUUUACGGUCUAAAUUAUCCCUAGCUGUAGCCAAGAGGGGCUGAACAUGACUACCUUAGCAGUUCAACUCUUUUUCUUCAUAUGCUUAUUAAACUUGAUACUGAUGAGACUGUGUGUUCGGGUCUUUUCCUUCCUUCCUUCCUUCCUUCCUUCCUUCCUUCCCCCAAAUGUAAUUUUUAAGGCUAUAUUCCCCUUAAACUUGUUUGCUUUCAUUUUUCAGUUACCUGACACCCCUUUAAAAGAAAGUACAUAACUAACUGAAAUUUACCAAUUAGUGUCAACACUUGAAUACAUAGACUUUAUAACUCAUACUGUGGUUAUCAAACAGAAGUAAAGACAGUAGGGUUAAAAGGUAUGCACAAUGUAUACAUACAGGUGUAUUUACAGGCACAUACGUGUGCAAAAAACAGACAUGAUUGCAAAAUACUACAUUUUAUUAAUACGUUCAUUUUAACAUUGUGAAUUGAUGUUCUUAUAAUGAGUGAACUGACAGUUCCUUCUCUUCACAUUUUCAUUUUGAGCCGUAAUUUCUCGAAAGAAAAUAA
Enhydra lutris kenyoni (northern sea otter) is the source of this 3811-nucleotide RNA transcript. It is a transcript of the gene named G-patch domain containing 2, with no coding region annotated. The record is from RefSeq and is a predicted model, not a curated record. Lineage: Eukaryota; Metazoa; Chordata; Mammalia; Carnivora; Mustelidae. The transcript is spliced from 11 exons.